CAGAAUUUCAGCAUUUGCUACUUACUGGUAGAGAAGAAAAAUUCCACAGCACUGCCAGUACAGGUUAGUUUAAUCUGUAAGUACCUGAUGUUCCUAUUUGAAAUUAUUUGUUCAAAUGAUACCACUUAAAUACAUGAGGGGAAUUUUUGUCUCUGAAAUGUGAAUGUGUCUUUUUUUCUACUACUGUUUUCAGUAGUGAGUAAACAUCUAGAUUUGUUUUCUACGUCUGUAAUGAUUUCAGCCCAGUUGUGGGUAGGUAACAGCUGCAAGCACUUCUCAGGAAAACUGAAUCCUGAACCUUAACAAACAGCCAUUGGUGUUGCUGAAAAGUGUGGGGGUCUAAAGUUGAAGCCACUUCUUCAGUAGCAGGCUUACUGUGAAAGAGGCUGUUUUACCAGUGAACCAGUUCUGAGAUACUCUGUUUGUGGUGUUGGGGAAGAAGCAUUUCUGUUGGUAAGAAUCCCUAGCAGUAAUGUAAUCUUUCUUUCAGUUGUCUUUCUCUGUUGCUGAUUACUGUCCCCUAACAACAGAUUUUUAUUUUUACUCCUGUAAACCAGGAGCUUAUUCUUUGCUGCCUUUUUUCUUGCUUUGUUUGCUCAUUUCAACACUUCAGAGGCUGCCUGCAAACGUGGUUGUGCCCAAGUGUUUGGUUACUCUGCCUCUAUUCCUUUUUUUUUCUGUCCUAUUCCAUAGUCCCAGAAAUGUUGGCAUUUUAUUUUUAUAGAGUGUAUCACCUUAGAAGAAAACAGGAGAGAUGCUUUGUCACUGGAUGAAAGAUGCAGCCUUCUCCAGAAUAGCUCCAUACAUUUUUUUUAAGGUUGUACCUUAUUUCCAUAUAGCAGCACAGGAGAUGAGAACGUCCUGUGCUGCAGCACACCGCGUAGUGUCACAGCUGGACGAGCUGUAAAACUCUGCUUCAUUCACUUCUCAAGGACACAUUGUCACACAGUGGAUUUGAGGGGCUGUUCAUUGGUGGGUAAUACUAGGUACUGGGAAGAUCAUACCAGUGUGGUAGCUGAAUGGACUCAGCUCAUCUGAGUGGUCUGGUGUUGUUUUGAGUGACCUGACACUUGCAGCAGUAUUGCUCUUUUGUAGAACUUUGAAACCUUACAUGACACUGCAGAAGUUCUGAUACUGACAUCACAAGUUUCAAGGGGAUUGUAUCUUCCCAGGUUUUAGAAUAGUUGCACUUGGAGCCUAUCUCCUGGCAUCAUCCCUACAUCACCUCUCAGUCAUUCACACCCAGUUGCCUUCUCUGCAAAGCUAGCCACAUGCAGAUUUAUUAAUGAUGUUUUGUAGAUAUUCUCCCUAGAAGAAAAAGCUGUAUAAUAAAACUUACCACUUAUCUUUGCCUGUAUUUCUUAAAUCUUAAUGGCAUAUGUGCAUGAAUAAUAGAGACACCUGGCUGUGAGGCCAGUAUCCUAUUAACAGAAUGUGUGCAUCUUUCUUGUGUGGUUGACCCUAGCUGACCCUAAAUGCAGUGCUCAUUAAGUUGGAAUGAGUAACUGAUUGGUUUUGGCUGCUGAAUUACUUUGUGAAGUCUCAAUUCUGACAUUGGUUGGAUCCUGACCUGCACUACUUGUACACCAGCUUGGCAAUCAGUGGGGAUAACUAACAGGUAGUGCUGUUCUCUGGUGUCUUACCAGCAAAAAGUCUACUGUCCAGGGUAGAGCCGAAUGUGAUCUCUGGUACAAUGUCAGCUCUUUGUGAAACGUUUAAUGGCAAUUAAUUGUGGUGCUUCUUGGUAGAAAUAAGCUUAUUUUCUUUUGAGGUGGAACCAAAACAAUACUAAGGAUUUGAGCUUUUGUAACCAGGUGAGCAGUCUUAAGCUGUAGCUCAGCUUCUGAUCCGCCGUUGCAGCAGCAGCUGUCCGGUCUAAUGGGGCUCAGAAGUCUUCCUUCCCAGUUCCGACACGGGGUAUCAACAGUGAGUCCUUUCACUAUUUCCUUUAGACUUCUGCUUUAUGACUUGAGUCACUCUUCUGGAUUCUGGUCACUGUGUAGCAAACCCGGAGUCCAAACUGGUUUUAGUAACCUCUUACAGUAUCUUAAAGCACAUGACUGAGUGAUGUCCCUCUCGAGAGUACGGCCACAGAAGUCAACGUGUCACGAAGGUGUUUUCUGUAACUUGGUACUGCUUUGGUGUAAGUAGUAUGGAAGGGUUGGGGGUCACUGGGGGUCACUGAUCUUUUCCAAAAGACAGGUGGCAAAAUAUUGAUGUUGAAUUUAAUCCAAGAAAGUGAAAGACUGGUAAGUAUGUGCAUCACUUUAAUGCAUGCAAGUAAUAGUAACAGUAACUAGCUUAAUUUUAUAGCAUUUAGUUUACAAAGAAGAGUCAAAGAAAAUGUGGAGCUAACUUCAUUUUACAUCCAUUGGGAACCUUCUGUGAACUGUAUGCUUGAAGAAUGGAUCAUUGCACAUAUCCAAGUCUGUAAUGUGUGUUUAUCACUUUGUAACAGUCUCUGAUUAAACAAAAGUGAAACACUGUUUCUGGUAUUUUUUUCUCUUGAGGACCCAUUUAAAUGGCUAUUGCAACAAAUGUUGGCAGUUCCAUGGUGUGUGUGAGAAUAAAAUCCACCCUCACUGGUGAUGUGGUUUGAAUAACUGUUUAGCUCUGUCUAAACUGCAGAAGCUUAAUCCUGGGAGCUUUGUCUUAUAAGUGUUUUCUACCUGGAGACAAGCAAAUGGAUCCUGAUGUCUUAACCUAUAACUUCCUUUGGUGCUGAUCUGCUGUCCUGCUGAACUGUCUAUGCAAAAUAUUACUAAAGAGUCGGGGAACAUGGAGGAAAUGUCUCAGCUGGUGAGGUAACUUUGAAAGUGUGUCCUGGCAGCUCCUGUCUACAGGGUGAGAGUGGAUCACUGCUGGGCCAGUUGGUCUCAUUUCACUACCACUGUACUCAUGAGUUUUGAAUUUUGGAAUGGACUGUUUUCCAGCCUGGCAUUGCCCUGGGGUCAGUGUGGCCUAAGUGCAGGACCUUGGUCUUGUUUGAGCAUCAUACAGUUGGCCUUGGCCCAUGGCUUCAGCCUGGCCAGGACCCUCUGAAGAGCCUUCCUGCCCUCAAGCAGAUACCCUGCCAGCUUGGUGUCAUCUGCAAACUGACUGAGAGGGCACUUCAUCCUCUCAUCAGAUCAUUGAUAAAGAUGCUAAAGAGAACAGAUACUGAUACUGAGCCCUGGGAACACCACUGGUGACAGGCUGACAACUGGAUUUAACUCCAUUCCCUGCCCAGUAAGAAGGAUGGGGCUGUACUUUCCUGCCCCACAGGUCCCCCAUCACUGUGGGACCUCCAGGUAGGAUUGUGGGGUGCAGGGGGGAGGUUGUUUGUAACAGCUGCUGAGGUAAAGAGUUUGGAUGUAAGCCUUUAGUUUCUAACAGGCAGAAAUGGAUCUCUUUGGAAAGACAUGGAGUCAGCAGAGGUGUGGGCUGUGGAGUGGAGGUCAGCUACUGACUGUCAAGUCGGGCAGGAAGGAAAGAAGCUUUGUCUUGGAGUCCUUUGGCCAAGUCUUCUGACUUAAAUUCAUCUUGGAAACAGUUUAUGUUUGGAAACAAAAGGUAUGCUUCUCCCACAGCAUUUGAGCAGGUAGUUUAAGCUGUGAAGCACUUGAUGAUUGCUUUUAGCAGCCAGGCUUUUCAGUAAGUUUGCAUAUCCUGCUCUGGGCUGGAGCCAUGCCGUGCCUCAUGCCAGAUGUGAGCAGGCUGGUAGUGCUUCCUGAAGGUUGCCUAUUUUAAAACUUCAGCUAUACAGCAGGUUUUCUGGAAAUCUUUGUGACAAUCCCAAACAACAUGAAACUCCAAAAUCAGGCAGCUUUAUUAGAAGCUUCAUAUGACAUGAUGCUUGCAGACACAGCCCUGACCACAAACUCAUUUGUAUUUCUUAAUUAGUCAAGCUAGGCAAUGUUUUCAAGCAUGGAUAUAUACAGUAGUCAAAUUUGAGUCAUACAGGGUGGACAGUGAUUGGAUAAUGCUGUAAAAAACUCUUCAGCAGGUUUGGGACUGGUUUGGACUGCAACCACAGCAUUUACAAAUCAUCUUUUACGUGUACGUUCACCUACACCUUUUGAUACCUAUUUAGGGAGACGAAAAAAUACACUUGCAGUGGACAAAUUCUGUUAGUGAUCAGGACCACCCAGAAAUUGAUCCUAAAUCCUAGUCUGUGAGCUGGUAAGAAGGGGAUCCCUGCUGUACCUUUUGAUUCCAGAGUUCAGUUCCCCAAAUAUUUGGGGCUGAGGAGAAAAACAGUGGGUCCUCUUGUCUCCCUGGUCCCAGUUCCCAAGCAAGAAAUGCAAUUAUUGCUGUCUUAAGUUUGAAGUCUCCAAAAGUGUCAAAGGCUUCUGUUCAAAGGUAUGUUUUACUAGUAGGUUUCAGAUUCCUUUAGGUAUUUGGCCAUUACUGUAUUAAUUAUUCUGAACCUCAAUAUUGAAAGCAACCAGACCAUUAAAUGAAAAGCCUAAAUAAAAGGUGACAUUUUCAUUUCCAGAGGGCACCGAGUCACGAUGGAGUGGCAAGAUGGGAAACUCCUUCACGUGCCCACGGAUAAACAAGUUUCUGUCCUUGGUCCAGCCAGAAACUCUCUUGAGAAUGUCAUGAAUCUUGUAAUUAUUCCAUACAGUUCCAUGCAGCCACUUCAUUCUCUUCUCGUGUAAGGACCCACUGAUUAAUUUAUCAAUCUUAGUUUUGUGCACAAUCUUGCCUAAAUCAUAACCCUUUCCCAGAAAAAAAUGGGUGUAGAUUCUUUUCUUCCUUGUAGGAACAUCCUUCACCUUGAUGUCGUAUAAACGUUUCAAGGUUUGAAGGGCUGAGUGUAGAAUGUCAUCUUUAUCUGUAUUGGGCUCUUUGUCUAGUGCCUCAUCUGGCCAGUACAGCAAGGUGAGCAAAAAAUGGGCACUUGCUGGAAAUGCUCUUCUUGGUUUAAGGAAUCUUGCGCUGAGGUCACGCAGAGUUUGCAGUGGAAGCAGUUUGGCCGAUCCUGGUUUCAAGCACUGUAAUGUGAUGUGGCACAAAAUGUAGUUGAUGAGGUCAUUGUCCUCCAGCCAGUCCCUAUGGGGGUUGUCUGUGUAGAAGGUAAGGAUCUUCUCUAGCUUUUCAGCUGCCCUGUUCUCGUUCUUAUCCGUUAAGAACGACAGGAUGUUGGUGAUGCUGCCCCCGCCGCUCCUGUAGAUAUUCAUGCGUCUGAUGAGCUGACUCUGAGGGCCACUGUUGCCAUCCUCAAGAACUGAUGCUGAGAUAAAGAAUUUGGCAUAUACCUCAGACUGUCUCUUCAGCCAUUUUCUGGGGUUAUAAAUUUGUUCUUCCUUUUCAUCUUUUUCAUCUUCUUCGUUCUCGUGGUUUUUGUCUGUUUGGAAAUAACUGAGGUCUUCUGAAAUCCACUCCAGAGCGUUGUACAGGUUCUGGCGUAGGCCUUUUAGGCGAGAGUGAAGCUUUCCCCAUGGUUUCUCAACAUCUUCAGGAAUGUAGUCUGUGAUUAGGUAUUUGACAAGCUCAGAAUGUUCCCCCUCGGGAUUCCUGCGAAAUACAGGGAUGGUGGACAGAUAUUUAAGGAGACGACACCCUACUUCCACUUCUCCAAAAUAGCCAGCGUUGUUCAUACUGUCACGCUCUGCUUUCGCAGCCUGUUGGGCACCCCUGAAGCAUUUCAUAGCUUUAAGAGCAAUCUCUAUCUUUGGAACCAUGCUUUCAAGAGCAUCAUCCUGUGUCGUUUUGUCCAAAAUGAAACUAAACCAUUUCCUGUAGACUUGACCUUCUGUGUCUAAAAUGUAAGAAUCGUGGGGCAGGUGAAACUUUGCAACCCCUGCCCAAUAUUCUGCUUCCGUGAAUUUUUCGUUGUUGUAGUGCAGCCUGGCAAGCUGCUGGGCAAAGAAAGCAUCUUUUCCAAGUUGUUCAUAUGCAGCUUUUAAAACAGCUAUAGCUUUGUCACAGUCUUCAGCCUCACAGACGUGUUCAAUGAACGGGGAGAAGAGUGUAUCAGUGUUGUCACCCCUGCUUCUUUUGUCGCGUCGAAUAAACAGGUCCCUGAUGAACUUUAUGAAUUCAUCUCUUCCAAACCUGUUGUCAAACAGCGUCUUUUCCUGAAGCAGUGCCAUUGCAAGUUGACUUUGAGGUUCAUUCCCUGCAAGCUGAUGCAGGAUUUCUUUCGCAACCAGACAGUGUAUUAUCUGAAUGGAUGAGAUGUAGGUGGUGCUUUCCCUUAGCUCGAUAAAAAUCAUUCUUGCUUGUUCACUCAAGUGACUUUUGAAAUCAUAUGCUCGUGUUUUCCUUUCUGUAUACGCCCCCAGUCCCAGAAAAGCCUCACAGUGUGACAACGAAACGUACGAGUUGGGUACGUAAAAAUUAAGCAAAGCCACGUAACGCAUCAAACAGGUGUCAGGAGAAGAGUGGUCUAUGUCUUGCAGGAUGUGCUCUACACAGUCUCUCACGUAUGUUUCGUUGAACUCUUCGCACAUGAGCACAAAGGUGAGUAUGAAUUGUGGAUUCACGUUUUUCUGCUUCAGUUUCUCGAGUUUCAUUUUGAACAGGGUUUUCUCUGAGUCUGUCAGCUUGUGGGUGACAGCCACUGUGUCCAGGGGAUAAGCCUUGCAAAGCCUUUCAGGGUCAUUGGAGCGUCUGCAGCACAACAGGAUGAAGUAAGGUCUGGGGCAAACGAUUUUCCUGGUUGUUACAGCAUCCAUUAACUCAUUCCUUAGUUCUUCUAAAUAGUCCUCAUCAUAAUCUUCAAUCAAGAGCAGCACAGGAAGACAAUUACCGACGUCUUUUUCUUCAUACUCUCUAAAUGCAAGUGCGUGCAUGCAGACAGUUGCAGGGGGAUGUGAGGAUUUGAUAACGGCACAUCUUAAGUCCUUUCUUCUCUUCCACAGAACUUGCCUGGCAAUUGUGCUUCCACCACUUCCAGGAUGGUGAAAUAUCUUUAGUUUAGCCACAGAACAGUUGAGUUUGCUUCCCCGUAAAAUGUCGUCUAGGAGUUUGUUAGCGUCCUUACACGCUUCCCGUUCGAUGAUUUCCCCACAGCAGCCCUUGUCAGCGAGCCAGAAGUUUUCCCAGAUGAUUUUUCUCCCCCGGUAAAACUUCUGUUCUAUCUCUUGUAUUUCUUUUUCAGUCAAAAGGUCGAUCUUGAUGUUGUCACAUUCGUCAACGCACAGGAUUUCUAGGGAAAAGAGUUUCUCCUCUUCCAGCAUGGGAAGUGUACAAAGGCCUCUGGUGAAAGUGGGCAGGUGUCUGGGCUGUGCUGUGGAAGGCAGCAGCUUUUGGAUGGUGGCAUCCACGUGACUUAGUUUCAUACCCACGAUGCUGCGUUGCUCCAGCGUCUCGAUGCUGCAGGAUGCCUGGGCCAGCCCAGCCCACUUCUCGUAGUUCUCUCUGGACUCGGCAAUGCAAAUGAUGUACUCGGCGCCGCUCAUCUCGGUGUAGAACUCCUGAAAGGUGUCCACGAGGGAUUUCUCAGCCGGUGACAGCAAUAGGAAGAGCACAAUGAAAGAGCCCUUGGGCAGGAUUUCAUCACAGAUACGAGUAAUCGCCUUCUUCAGGCUCAGACUUGGCUCCUAGCCUCUGAUAGAGAGUGAUCUCUUUUGUCAGGAUCGCCUUGCUGUCUUCUUUGUACUUUGGCAAAUACACUUCGAAUAGUUUGUUCUUUACUAAAGUGGAUGUGGGUUCAAUGUCAACCUCCACCACAAAUCUUUGCUCCUGAGAGUCUUUCGAAAUCACCUCGACAAACACAGGAGGGUGAAUGCAUUUCCUUGCAGUUUCUCGUACAUCUCUGCGAAAACACUUGUCUAUGUAAUCUAAGGCAUCAACGUAGUAGUCUGGUUGUGUGACCUUUAUGCCACGGAUCUGCCCGUGCUGCCAGCCGCUGUCCUCAACGCUGUCCAUGACGCCGAAGUGGAUGGUGCCGUUGGUGCGGAUGUUCAUGCAGGCCGAAGCGAAUCGGAUCACUUCACAGGCAAACUUGGACUGCAGCUGGUCUCUGUUCAGUUCUGCAGCAGUGGCAAAAGAUUUGUAUUCAUGGCAAGGAGUGAUUAAACCGUCGACCCCUGAUUCUGGAGCAAGAACUCUGUCUCUCACGUAUUUGAAAUCAGCAUUCUGACUUCUAAAGGGUCGACAGUUGCAGGGCUCGAUCGCUUCAUCAGCACUGGCCAGCUGGGAGUGUUUCCUUCUUUGCCUCUUGCCAGAAGCAGAAGCCCUGUUAUCUGUGCUGGCUUUAUCUGCUGGAGCACAGCUCUCUGUGCUUGAAGGCUUUUGCCUGGGAGUGCCCGUGGGCGUUGCUGGGUCUGUCCGUGCCGCAGUGCUGCUGGAGCUGGGGGCACGCGGAGCAGCUUCCUGGGGCCGCAGGAGCUCGUCUCUCUUGCGGAUUAACAUGUGGACUUGGGCUUCCUUCAUGCCUACUUUUUUGAAGAAAGACUCGUCCAGGUCCAUUAGUAGUGGACCUGUCACUUCUGCUGCAUGCAGUUUUUUUACAUACUCUUUCUUGAUUCCAAUAGUUCCCAGCCAGCACUGGACGUGGUCCUCGUCCCAGUCUUUCACAGGCAACUUUCUGUAAUCUGCAAGUUAAUUACAUAUUAGUAACACAAGCUAAAAACAUGUCCACGUGCUUGGCAAGGCAUUACAAUCUUUGCAAUACUGCCCCCCUUGAGUGCUAGAUUGUUUUCUACCAGUCCCAGUGAGAGACUGGGUCUGAACUGCUCACAUAUGUCGGUUCUGAUGAUGUCCUUAACUGUAACCAAAGGCACUGCAGAGCAGUGGUAUGAGACCAGUGCAUCCACGAAACGGGAAACUGUGAAGGAGGUUUGGAAGUGAUCCUCAAAGGGAUUCCUGGAAAUAACUCGAAGGGAGUGGUUACCAGCGUUACCAGAACUGACAGGCACUUAUCAACAGAGGUUUGGGGCAGUUGUUUACCCACUUGAGUCUGUUCUCUGCUAAAUGAAAACAGCAUCAGAUGAUGUAAGGAGUAUUGUUUAGUUGCCCACUAGAGAUUAACCCUUACAAUGCAGACACUGAACAGCAAAUUGCAACAUAUAAAGUCCAAAUUUUCUGAAAGCAGCACAUACCCAUUGCCUUUGAUGAGGGAAAUCCUGCUGGUAACGAGCAAAACCCUAGAAGGGGGAAAACAAAACUCUUCAGAUGGACAAUGUCACUGCAUUACAUAAAGCUGACCGACUUUGUUCUCUUUUCCCACCCUCCUCCCUACCUUUUUAGUCCAGGGUGGCUUCUGUGGCUUCUGGAAGCCCUGUCUUGACAGCUCUGUUCUGCCCAUAGGCCCUCACAGUGUGAGGGUAGCUGUUCCCACUCUGGCAUGUGUGUGUGUGUGAAGGAGAUGGAGCAGCGUGUGCUGCUGGCUGUGCCCAGCUAACAGCUGCUUCUGUUAAAUGGGGGAAAACAGAGGCUGUGUCCCCAGGGUUGCAUGGUAGCUCUUGCUUUUUAUUGAUGUGGGGGUUUUUUACUCACUUUCCCUUUCACUGCGUUUUGCUCCCUCACACUCUGUUCUUUCUCCCUUUUGUGUGUGUGUGAACACUUAUCUCCCUCCCACUUUCCCACAUCUCUUCUGGUGCCCCCUGGGUUUCCAUGAAGCAGUUCAAGCCACUGCUCAACCCAACAGAGGAUUUUGGUUUUAGUGGGGUGCCCUGGCCCCACUGACACACGACACCCUCUGGCUUGCUUAGCUCCAUGUACAGGUCUGCAGAGAUGGACUGCAGCAGGGAACACAUUAAUUAAUCCUGCUCAGUGUGACACCAGCGAAGUGUAACAGAUCCACAUAGCCCACGGUAACCAUCCCUGAGCUACAGCCUUGCCAGCAAAGGCAACCGUGGAGGCGUGUGGUGGUGGUGGUGUUUCUCUUACAGUUGUGUGAAAGCUCAGCUCUGUGCUGCUCCCUGCCCACAGCUCACGGUGGGGCGAGGGUGAUGCUCCCACUGUGUGCUCAGGCACAGCAGGAGCGGGCAGCAGCGCUGGCGGCACAGAGGCAGCUGCGGGCUCCACACGCUCCCCCCAACAUCUGCAAGUGCAGAGGGGAGCCCUGAGGGACAGCCACGAGCACUCGGGAGCCCCAAGGCACAGCCACAAGCACUCAGGAGCCCUGAGGGACAGCCACCAGCACUCGGGAGCCCUGAGAGACAGCCACAAGCACUCUGGAGCCCUGAGGGACAGCCGGGAGCACUCAGGAGCCCUGAGGGACAGCCGGGAGCACUCGUGCCCCAGGAGCAUGGCUUGGCAAGAGGUGAGUUUGGGGACGUCCCAGGUCUAGGGGAAGGGGGGAUGUUAGGAAAAAAGCCUGUGGAACAAGUGUGUGUUUGCUGUUUAGGCAGCUGGUCAGGGCUGUGGGGGAGCUGAGCUGGCCCUUAGCUGUGUGUUGAGCGAGUGGCUCUAAGGGGAGCGUGCUCCGGGGCCGUGCUGAUGUGCCAUCGUGCAGGUUCCGAACAGGCUCUCAUGAAAAUACCUGGAGGCGCUUCCCGCUGCCUUUUGGUGAAGCGUCGCCCGAGAGAUGGGCUCAACCCCUCCCACAAGCCCUGGCCGUGCGGGAGCUGUGGCCUCUCGCAGCGCCGUACCCGCCCUCUGGUGACAGACGGCAGCGAGGAGAAACGAAACUUCCCGGGAAACAGAAACCAGAGCGAAGGCGGCGGCAGAGCGGGGCAGGGCGGCCGGGGCCGCGGAGGCCUGUGCAGGAGGGACCCCGGGCCGCCGCUGCCCCGUUUGUAGGAGCGGUUGGGGGCUGCGUGUGUGCCCGUGCGGCGCGGGGACCUGGGCUGCAGGAGUGGGCACGGAUGUAGCCCUGGGUGCGGAGGUGGCUGUGCACAAAGCCUGGCUGUGCACAAAGCCCGCCUGUCCCAGCCCCGCCGCCAAUGAAGUGACCGAGAGCGCUCCCCCCGCCCCGGCCCGAGCAGGAGCGGCGCGGGACACUCACCCCGCAGGGACCCGGCUUCCGAGAGCUGCCAGCGGCCGAUGCCCCCCGCGCAGCGCUGCCCCGGGCUCGGCGGCACGGCGCGGAUCGGAGCGGCGCGGAUCGGAGCGGCACGGCGCGGAUCGGAGCGGCACGGCGCGGAUCGGAGCGCCACGGGUGCUCCUGCAGCCGCUGCUCUGCGUCUCGGAUGAUCCUCGGGCAGAUAUGAACAAAAAGCGAAAGCGCUUUGGCAGAUAUUCUGGAUGCCUCAGCAAGUCUCCACCCUCCUCCCGCAGUGUCCGGGGCUGAGGGAGCUGAGCUCUGCCGUGCUCUGUUGCUGCACUGCGCAGUCCCACCUCUGCCUCCUGCACUGGCAGGGAUGCCCUCACCAAACCAGGCCACUCCAGCCAUUUCAUCUGAUCUGCUCACCUGCUCGACACCGAGCCGGACACCAAGAUGCAGGCUCCGGGACUUGGAAGGCUCUGGGCUCACCCCCAUCCCUGAAACCAGUGAGAGCAGGUGAGUGAGAGCAAGCAGAAGUGAAUGUGUGAGUGACCUCCUGCAUCAGGUGUAUCUCUGAAGAGCAGGACUCUUGUUUUCAGUGGGCACGUGCCCUUUCCCCAGCGAGGCAGGUGACCCCAUCCCUGCCCCUGUCUCCAGCCCUGGCUCUGGACACGUGUGGCUGUUGCACCAGGUACACAGUGGUAUGGAAAGUACAAGUCUUUAUUUAGUAGACUUAUAAAAGGACUUUACAUGAGAAGUACAAAAAUAUGAAACAGGCUUUGAAUCUUCUUCAGUAAAACCACCAUUACUUCUUUUCAAGCUUUAGAAACGUGUAACUUGCACAGUUGGCAUCUUGUAAAUUGCUCUCAGACAUUGUAAAAACUAGGGAAAUAAAACUUCCCUAAAGUAGCUCCAGAAAAGUAGCUGUUUGUACCCAAUCACACAGUCCUGUCAAUAAUUUAUUGGUUUUAAGACACAACAGCACAGCUGUACAAACUCCCACUUGUACUUUCUCUUGUAAAGAACUCCAGUGAAAGAUGCAGUGUCACUCUCCUCUUCCAGGUGUUAGCAUAUGACUAAAUAGAAACACAAACCCAAUUAAGAAGGAUCUGGCAUGCUUCAUACUUGUACCCCUGGGAUUUGAUACCACUUUGUAGUAAAAGUUAAAUAAAUAUAAAUAUGUUAAAUAAAUACAGUGUGAAAGGCGGCGCCGCUCGCCCCUCCCCACGCAGCACGGCCCCUCCCAGCAGCCAGGGCUCAGCUCCUGCUGUACCCAGUGCCUGUCCCACUCCUGCUCCACUCCUGCUGCUCCCUCUGAGUUCCCUUCCCCAGGACUCGCUGCCAACAGCCCUUCUGUGCAAGGCCACGGACCCCAGCGGGAGAUGGACGAUGAGUCCUGGAGUGACUCCUGUAGCUCUGCCCCCGUGCUGUGGGUUGCCAAGGACUGCUCGAGCUCUGAGAAGACUGCCUGAUGUUUUCAGAGCAGGACGGUUGUGGAUUCUACCAACCAUCCACCAAGCUGGGACAGACUGAAUUCAAGAUGUCAAAACUAUCUACAGGAGUCCUUAGAACUGGAAAGACAGAAAAGGUCAACACAAACCUGAAAAAACUGGAGCUGCUUUUCUAAACUCCAGAAGAAGGGAUGUUUGAGCACACAGCUGGCGGACGGACGCUUCUGAGGGUCCAUAUUUAUCAUCUGCUCUAUUAAAUCACGAGCAACUACGUCUUCUGCAAGGAAAAGGGUGGUAAGCUGCAGGGAAACCUCAUGUUCUGUACUCUGCAAAAUCGUUGUGUUCUCUACUUCCUCUGACCCAACCUUGACCACUGGUCCCAUUGGCUCAGGUGCUGCCCUCGUCGCUACACUGGGCAAAGGACAGUCAGUGUUGACUCCGUGUGAUGACGAAGAUCAAAGUUCUGCUCUUUCCUACCUUUUAACUACAUGAAAUAACUCUACAGCCAGGCUUGCAGGGUUCCAAGUUGUGUGUCCAGAGGCUUUGGGGGUACUAGUUCUAAGACCCUGAGGAGCUUUCCCUCAGGAGGACGAUUUGCACAGCUGCCAGGUGGGUCACGGUUUUGUCAUUUCUGUCGGCGUUUGAACACACCCACGGAACGUUCCCUGAGCUUUGCUCUGUGCUUCCUGAGCUUUCCUUACCAUGCCUCCCUGCAUCCAAGGCCUCCAGGCUGUAUGCACCCAGCAGGAUGUUGGCUUGUCGCUGCAGGGAUUUGCCAAAGGGAUGGCUGCCCUCAGACACCACGUAAUAAAAGACACAUCCAGCUGAGAAGAUGUCCACGGUGCACGUCUGCAAAGAAAUCAACAGCCUUUAACAGCAAGAACACCUUUUUCCCCCCGGCAAAGACUUCGCUCAUCCCAGGGUGGGUAUUUUGCAUCCAAGAGCAGAAGAUAUGGUCACCCAGCUACAAGGCAGCACGAAUGCCCUGGCAGGCAGCAGUGCCUGUCUCAGCCUGACUGCGCAGCCCCCAGGGGAGCCCCGAGGCCAGGGCUGACUUACGGGGUUCUCUUUGCAGUCCUCGCUCAGCAUCUCGGGCGCGAUCCAGCCCUCGGUGCCCGGCACGCCCGAGCGCCGGCUGAAGCUGUGUCUGCCCACUGCCAGCUUCUUGCACAGCCCAAAGUCUGAAAUCAUGGCUUUCACCUUCCCGUGGGCGUUGGGCAUCGAGAUGAGGAUGUUGUGGGGCUUCAGGUCCCUGUGGACUGUCACAAACCCCGUUUAGCCACUCCAGGCACUCCCAGUGCCAUUUUUCAUGUGUAGGCAGUGGAAGCCUGUCGCAAGGCUGAGCUGUUUGUUAAACCCAAGUUCAAGCUCUCGUCUUUGGGAGAGGCUCAUCGCUUUUUUAUUCCACUAGCACUCGUCAAGAUCUCUUCUAUGAUGUGCAGCCACAACUGCAGCCCCCUGCACAAUGGUAAUGACUGGAGUGACUGCUGGAGUGCAGCAGCGACAAAGCCGGGAUCAGGGCCGCCACCACCGCGGCCAGCACUAGGUGGAGCUGCUGCAGCGUCUGGGAUGGAAUAAACAAGCUCCCAGCACCACACCACUCUUUUAGUUAAGGAAAUACCCCCCUCUCCAUGAGACAGAAAGCAGAGGCGUCCUUACCAAUGCUGAGGGAGUGCAGGUGAGCAAGACCAGACGUCGUCUGCUGCAGGAGCGCGAUGGGCUGGAGGCCGUGGUGACUGAAGGCCUUCUGCUCAACGUACUACCAGUUACAACAGAAACAGGGUUCAGCCACAACAUUGCUUAACCUCUGCAUAAACAGUAAGUCUAUCUCCUCCACCCCCCUAGAUGAGGUUAGGCUGGGUAAAUUGUGCUACCUGGUCACACAUUUUGUGUCACACAGAUGUUUGGGGGGUUUUUUGGAUGAAAAUGGUGUCUCUAAAAGGACAUUCAGAGCAAGAAUUCCAUAUAGCACUGCAGGUCUGCAAGGUCCAGAGGGAGGGGGAGGAUGACUACAAGGGAUUCCUUCACAAGAAGGAGAACCAAAGGAUGUCAGCUUCUGUCUUUAAAUCAGUGCAGGGUUAGGGAUCUCUGACAACACCCCGGGCACAGGAAUGUGCAACUGACACAGAGGUGAUGGCUGGAGGACCUACACUACCUCCUGCAGCAGGAACUUCAGCUAAAGGGAGAAAGCUUUCCCCGAUGCUGUGGGUUUGGAAGUUCCCCCUCACCUCCUGCAAGGUGGCAGCACAGAGCUCGAUGGCGAUGUACUGGAACUGCCGGUCCUUCUCCGUGCAGAAGUAGCGAAUCACGUUCGGGUGCUCGUCUGACUCCCGCAGCAACUGCACUUCACGGUCUGCAAAGCUGAAGCACUCGGGAAGAAUCCUCUUCACUGCCACAUCCCGGUUAUCAAAUGUCCCCCUGCAGACACGCAGGAAAAGCCACAGCAACCUCUUACACGCUGCAGACAAGGUGAGUGUGAGGGAGUGACAGGAGCUGUCACACAGAGGGGUAAUUAAAGCGUUUCUCAUGCUGGAAACGAGACACAGUUGGUCAUUACACAGUUCUGGGGAAAUUAAAGCAGUUCUGGGUAGUGAAGAAACACCACAUGGAAAUAUUCCAGAUACUUUUUCAAAGUCUGAUUUCUGUCCCUAUGAGACAGGUGGGUUAGAGCCGACCCAACACGGCCUCAGUGUGUUCCGAGUGCACACGCUGUGUUCUACCUGUACACGAUCGUCCCUUCAGCUCCAUGUCCCAGCACAUCCUUUGGGUUAAAAGAAAUCUUGCCAACCAUCACUCUGUGUGCAUCCUCAUCUGGACAGAAACAAGAAUGAGGACUGGUUUAGGGUCAAGUCAGCCUUUUAUAGCUGCAGAUCCUUCUGGGUCAGUAUGGGGAAGGCUCUUUGCUCCUGUUCAGAUGCUGACAACACCUCUCUUCUGGUACUUGGGCUGAGCAGAUGACACCCUCUGGUGACCAAAUGAUCUAAUAUGCAAAGUCAAACAUAGUUCUCCUUAGAGUAGCAGAAUAGUGGUUCCCAGUGGACAAACUCUUUCUAGAAAGUUUGUAGAUGUUCUGGUAAAUUUAGGAAAUGCUGAGUGACAGUUCUGGAGGAGAGUUUGCUGGCAGUUCCCCUGAAGAGCCCUCAAAGGGACAAAAGAAUGCAGAGGAAGCUCAGGCAGGAAGGCAGGCUGUGCUGCACAAUCCUCCUUUCUUGAUUCCAGUUCAUCAUCAUAAUGUAUAUUUUCAUUUAAAUAAACUGUUCCCUAGGAUGGCUCAGACCAAAUGGUCAGGAGAGGUACUGCCACAGGCACCAUCCCUCACACAACAGCUAUGAACUGGGUGUUUUUCCAAAGCAAAUAAUCCUGCUCAGAGUCAGGGCAUGGCACCCCUGCCCAGGGUUCUGCAGGUGGUCAGACUAAAACAGAACACUUGUCCUUGCCAGCGUUUUGAUCCACAGUGUCAUCAACAACUACUGCAAUUGUGCUCUAUCACCACACAGACUGGAGAAAUACAGAGACAAUAAAGGACACUGGAUCAACUUUACCUCCCUCUUCUGGCUCAGUGGAGAGGCAGCUCCCAACAUCAGAGGCGGAGAUGCUGGAAUAUGCAGAGUGGUUUGAUGCUCGGGGGGACACGGUUGGUGUGCUGGUGGCUGAGCUCUCUGUCCGGCCAUAGGACGUGUCCAGGAAAUCUGCUUCUGGGGGCAGGUCCCCAGGAGCACGAAAGGGCAGCUUCUCUUGCUGCAGGAGCUGCAUCUUCUCUUCCAGCUGCUGCUGUUGCUGCUGAUGCACACUCUGUGAGAAAGAACCUCAGUUCUGUGAGUGGAGCUUUUAGAGUCACGUCACAAAAGGGACACUAUUGCUACUGGGGCAGCUACAGCCAAAAGGUGGGAGGAAAAUGCUCUUGUGAUGACACCAUCAGCCAGGGAACUUUCCCUCAUACACCCUCAGUUUCUUUCUGAACUCUCACUGCAAAGCUGAGAAAUCACAUUCGUGUUGACUAUGGCCAAAGCUCACUGUCACUAGGAGAAUUUCACCUACAGAGAGGAAAAGGCUUUGAGCUAAAAGCUGGAAAACCCGAGAGUGGCUCAGGUAAGGAAAAGUGAAUCCAAUGAUGUUCAGCUCAUGUCUGUGAAAAGAGUAACACAGACAUAAACCAGAACUGGUGGGAUGAAGAAAACAAAUCUCCAAAGCUGUCACAUAUGCCCAGACAAUUAUGUUGAUUUGUAGCCUUUGCUACCCCCUGCACGUGUGUAAGGAGUGAAACCCCCCGCACUGUGCUACUUCUAACUCCUCUAUCUGUAAGGUGUUACAAAACCACAACUCUCCCAGAAGCACUCCAAGCUAAGUCAGCAUUACCAUUGGGUAAGUGAUGAUAAAAGCCACCCAGCCCACAAGCAGGAAAGUGCUGAGGAUGAUGGUGGCCAUGUCUUUCAGCAUGGAGUCCAUGGCAGCCUCUGGCCGAGGGCUGGGCCGAGCAGGUUUCUCCUCAAUAUCCUUUGGAAGAGCAGGAGGCCCUUCUGUUGAGGAGCCUUCAACAAUGUCAAUAACCUAAGAGGAAAGAAAGCUCUGUUAGCUCAGCAUCUGCACAGGUAAUGGAGCAUUUCUCUGCUAGCCUUUCUGCUAAACCCAUUUUAGUAAUUUCUAACCCCACCAAAGUCAAAGAGAGAUUUGCAUGUGGGGAAAAGAGGCACCUGGAAACCCUAAUUCUCAAAUAAGCAACUGCUGAGUACAUGAAAAUCUGACACCAAAAAUGGGAAGGAGUUCCCAUGUAGCUUUCCUUCUGAGUCCUUCCCCAACUUCUGCUCCUUUAUAUUCUUCAGUCAUCCAGUGAGAUCACUAUUGUCACCACAAACCUCUUCAAUAGUGGCUUUGUCAGAGUCAGCUGGAAUCACAUUUUCAGGCCUCUUAGGUAAGUUGCUUGGGAACUUCUCCAGGAUCUUUGUAGGGGCAGAUAAGGGGGUUUCAUGGUGCCCUUUAAAAUAAAACACAUUUGUUGAAAUAAAAAGUUAUCCUUUCUUUUUC
Long non-coding RNA from Colius striatus (speckled mousebird), 17337 nucleotides. RefSeq lists it as uncharacterized. The transcript is spliced from 5 exons. The record is from RefSeq and is a predicted model, not a curated record. Lineage: Eukaryota; Metazoa; Chordata; Aves; Coliiformes; Coliidae.